CAGUCUUUUUAGGGCCACAAGCACCGCAUAUGGAGGUUCCCAGGCUAGGGGUCAAAUCGGAGCUAUAGCUGCUGGCCUACCCCACAGCCAUAGCAACCCCAGGUCCAAGCCUUGGCUUGACCUACACAACAGCACACAGCAAUGCCAGAUCCCACUGAGGGAGGCCAGGGAUCAAAACUGCAUCCUCAUGGAUACUAGUCAGAUUCGUUUCCUCUGAGCCACAAUGGGAACUCCUAUUUCUAUUAUCUUAAAUGCCCUUAAAAGAUAUCAGUUCUUCUCACCUUCCUCAAAUCUUAUUCCUCCAGGAAGAUGUAGAGUGCUCUCCCAUUAAACCAACAGAAUACAGAAGUGAUGACUUCCCAGGGCAAGUCCUAAAAGGAUAAAACUUGGCCCAACUCUUGGACUCCAGCCACCACUCUGUGAAGUCUGGGUAAAGUUCUGGACAUAUCUCACCUGAAGCCUUAUCCAGCAUAGAACACCGGUGCAUGAAGAGCAUUCAGAUGAUUCUAGUCCCUAUUCUUUAAAGCUGCUUCCAGUGAGGCUCAGUAGUGCAGAAAUGAACUAUCUAAGCACAGUCAGUAAAAUAAAUCUUGUUGAUAUUUCAAGUUUUGGGAAUGGUUUUGUUAUGCAGUACUAGGUAACUGCAAGUCACCAAUACAACUCUCCACAUUCUGAUGGUCCCAUUGAGUUUACAUAAUAUAAUCCAGCUUUGUUGUUUUACUGGUUUUCUCAAUAUAAGCAGCUCAGCAAGUAGAAAUGUGACACCUACAAAAACUUGUUGUAUACCUACCACCUUCCUGGACUAGCACUGGAAGUUAAGGGAAUACAGUAAUGAAUGAGUAUUCCUAAAGUACUUCUUGAACUGGCAAAACCAGAUCAGAACUGAAGAAUCAAAGAAAGCAGGUAUUAAUUUAAAGAAAAAGAACCUAUGUUGAGCUAGUAAGAUAUAUGCAUGAAAGACCCGGUGGAAAGAAGGAAGUGAAAGAAAAGACAGCCAGGCAUGAUUGAAAGAGUCCAAUUGCAGGCUAGACAGGUGUUGUUGAUGUCCAAGUUGCUCUAAAGGUUCUAGGUCCACACUCCAAGCCAUUUGUCUAAAAUCACAAGUGGUCUAAAGACUGACACGUUUGUCUCUCUCUCCAUUCCUAGACUGUCCAAUAAUGUGCAAGGAUCCAGGUAAAUAAAUGUUGGGGAUGGAAAUGGAUGGGCUGAGUAAUGACAACUUGGGUGUUUUGGAGCAUGAGCUAUCUAAAUAUAAUCAGAUUUCACUUAGUUUUAUCCUAGAUGAUUUCUCUGGAUUUAACAAAAGAAAAUAAACAUGCAUUUUUUAAAUGAGAUUUUGUAAAAAAGAAAAAAAAAAACUUGACUUUAGGUAAGGGUAACAAAUUAUCAUUCUAUUUUUCUUAACAAAUAUCAAAACCCUUCAAAAUAGGGGCAUGGGUUUAUAUUUAUUAUCCAGUCUUAGUCUCAGGGUUCUUUCAUACACCAAGUAGGGAUACUUCUAAGCCAAGAGCCAUUUUGCCUUUAGAACCAAAAGCAAAAACAAAACAAACAAAAAAAGAAAAACCCUUAACUGCCAAAAUCAAUUACAAAAGGUGAUUCCCAAUCACAAAUUCUUGGUUUUCUUAUGUUUAGGAAGCAUGUUCAUUAACUGCUCAUAUUGUACAUACAUCAGGUUCUGAGUACUCUCUAACCACUCCAAGAACUAAUGUGUUCCCUGGUUUCUGCUCACCACUAUCUCACAAGACAUCAAAACAAUGAGGCUGAAUGAACAGGUGGAAGAUGAACUCCAACGCUUAUGUUUAACCAUUCUACUAACGUUUUAUCAAUAUAGUCAUUACAAGAUGGUUAUGGUAAUUUGUUGAGGGCUCCAUGAGGUUUUUAGUACAAAAUCUUUUCCACUUUUAUUCAUGAUUUUUUUUAUUCCUAUAGUGCAACCUCACCUAUAACACCCAGCUGGAUGAGCUACUACUAAUCUAAUGUUCUUGAAGUUAGUUAAAAAUAUGGACUGAGCCCACUGAGCGAGUCCAGGGAUCAAACACACAUCUUCAGAUACUAGUCAGGUUCAUUUCCUCUGAACCACAACGGGGAACUCCUGUACUUAGUUCUUAAUGUAUUUCCUAAAUCUAUCACAUGAAAAGGCCUAGAAAUACAAACAACCUAGAAAAAUGCAAACCCAUCAUGUGGACUUAUCUAAGUACCGCUUCCCAUUAAAGGGAACCAGGGAUCCUUGGGGAAAUAGCCAGUUUCAGAGCUGGGACAAAGCAGACUAAGAAGCCCGGAAAAUUUGUUUGAGCUGAACAAAUUGACGUUGACACAUGUUCCAUCCCUGGCCUUGAUCAAUGGGUUAAGGAUCCCGCCUUGCCGUGAACUGUGGUGUAGGUUGCAGAAGUGGCUUGGAUCUGGCAUUGCUGUGCUGUGGCGUAGGCCAGGGGCUACAGCUCAGAUUCAACCCCUGGGACCCUCAUAUGCCACCAGCAAGGCCCUAAAAAGACAAAAAAAAAAAAAAAAAAAAAAAAA
RNAcentral lists this long non-coding RNA (2517 nucleotides) under Sus scrofa (pig). RNAcentral describes it as "lncRNA (ENSSSCG00025008352.1)". Lineage: Eukaryota; Metazoa; Chordata; Mammalia; Artiodactyla; Suidae. The record is from RNAcentral.